Molecule: small RNA, 258 nt
Filed under: Arabidopsis thaliana (thale cress)
Lineage: Eukaryota; Viridiplantae; Streptophyta; Magnoliopsida; Brassicales; Brassicaceae
Description: ATSL212520
Source: RNAcentral
AUUUAUAUAUAUAUAUAUAUAUAUAUGAUUUCACCCGUGGUAUACUGUCUCGUAUUAUUAUCGAUCCAAAGCCGUCAUAUCAUCUAAUGUCGUUCUGUGAAAUUAAACAUGUCUAAUAGAUUCACCCAUGCUAUACUGUCUCGUAUUACCUAUCGACCCAAACUCGUCAUACCAUCUAACCCGGUUCAGCGAAAUUAAAAAUUAUUUUGUUAUUUUUGUUUUAAUAAUACUUUAAUUUAAAAGAUAUAUAAUUCAAAU